CCUACGGGGGGCAGCAGUGAGGAAUAUUGGUCAAUGGACGAGAGUCUGAACCAGCCAAGUAGCGUGAAGGAUGACUGCCCUAUGGGUUGUAAACUUCUUUUAUAUGGGAAUAAAAUGUUCCACGUGUGGGAUUUUGUAUGUACCAUAUGAAUAAGGAUCGGCUAACUCCGUGCCAGCAGCCGCGGUAAUACGGAGGAUCCGAGCGUUAUCCGGAUUUAUUGGGUUUAAAGGGAGCGUAGGUGGAUUGUUAAGUCAGUUGUGAAAGUUUGCGGCUCAACCGUAAAAGUGCAUUUGAAACUGGCAGUCUUGAGUACAGGAGAGGUAGGCGGAAUUCGUGGUGUAGCGGUGAAAUGCUUAGAUAUCACGAAGAACUCCGAUUGCGAAGGCAGUUCACUGGACUGCAACUGACGCUGAGGCUCGAAAGUGUGGGUAUCAAACAGGAUUAGAUACCCUUGUAGUC
Molecule: ribosomal RNA, 460 nt
Filed under: uncultured bacterium
Lineage: Bacteria
Description: partial 16S ribosomal RNA
Rfam family: Bacterial small subunit ribosomal RNA
Source: RNAcentral